This 418-nucleotide unclassified non-coding RNA is filed under the name soil metagenome. RNAcentral describes it as "partial contains 5.8S ribosomal RNA, internal transcribed spacer 2, and large subunit ribosomal RNA". The stretch from base 1 to 120 matches the Rfam family "5.8S ribosomal RNA", at positions 35 to 154 of the family's 154-position model. The record is from RNAcentral.
GAUGAAGAACGUAGCGAAAUGCGAUAAGUAAUGUGAAUUGCAGAAUUCAGUGAAUCAUCGAAUCUUUGAACGCAUCUUGCGCUCCUUGGUAUUCCUUGGAGCAUGCCUGUUUGAGUAUCAUGAGCAAAUCUCAAAGUCAAUUCCUUUUGUUGAUUCAAUUGGUUUUGCUUUGGACUUGGAGGCCUUGCAGAUUUCACAGUCUGCUCCUCUUAAAUGCAUUAGCUGGAUCUCAGUAAUUAUGCUUGGUUCCACUCGGCGUGAUAAGUAUCACUCGCUGAGGACACUGUUAAAAAGGUGGCCAGGAAAAUACUGAUUGAACCGCUUCUAACGGUCUAUUAAGUUAGACAAUUACCCUUAAGUUUGAUCUCAAAUCAGGUAGGAGUACCCGCUGAACUUAAGCAUAUCAAUAAGCGGAGGA